RNAcentral lists this ribosomal RNA (429 nucleotides) under Chloroflexota bacterium. RNAcentral describes it as "Chloroflexi bacterium partial 16S ribosomal RNA". It matches the Rfam family "Bacterial small subunit ribosomal RNA", at positions 355 to 776 of the family's 1533-position model. The record is from RNAcentral. Lineage: Bacteria; Bacillati; Chloroflexota.
UGGGGAAUAUUGCACAAUGGGCGCAAGCCUGAUGCAGCCAUGCCGCGUGUGUGAAGAAGGCCUUCGGGUUGUAAAGCACUUUCAGCGGGGAGGAAGGCGAUAAGGUUAAUAACCUUGUCGAUUGACGUUACCCGCAGAAGAAACACCGGCUAACUCCGUGCCAGCAGCCGCGGUAAUACGGAGGGUGCAAGCGUUAAUCGGAAUUACUGGGCGUAAAGCGCACGCAGGCGGUCUGUCAAGUCGGAUGUGAAAUCCCCGGGCUCAACCUGGGAACUGCAUUCGAAACUGGCAGGCUAGAGUCUUGUAGAGGGGGGUAGAAUUCCAGGUGUAGCGAUGAAAUGCGUAGAGAUCUGGAGGAAUACCGGUGGCGAAGGCGGCCCCCUGGACAAAGACUGACGCUCAGGUGCGAAAGCGUGGGGAGCAAACAGG